UGGCCGGGCACGUGGCUGGCUGGAAGGCCCGACCGGGGCGGAAGCACCUGGGGCGCAUGCGCAGGUGGUUGUUCCGCGGACGCCUGGCGGACGGCUUUCUGAAGGGACGAGGCGGGAUCGUUGUUGUCGCCAUUGUCGUCCUUUCGGUCGUAGGUUGUGGGUGACCAGGGCGGCGCUUUCCUCACUUCGGUCCUGGGCCACGGUGGACCGGAAGAGGGACAGCCCCUCGCAGGCUGGCAGGGAGGAGGCUAGGGUCAGAACAGGUAACUCCGGAGGUAGAACCUGGAAAUGAUGAGAGGCUGUCAAAGAAAAAAGGCAACAAAGUAAGUAUUUUUAAAUUAUGGAUAUAUUCUUUUACAACUUAUAAUCUAUCAGAUAUAACUUUAAUUCUUG
Molecule: long non-coding RNA, 393 nt
Filed under: Phascolarctos cinereus (koala)
Lineage: Eukaryota; Metazoa; Chordata; Mammalia; Diprotodontia; Phascolarctidae
Description: lncRNA (ENSPCIG00000009796.2)
Source: RNAcentral